UACGGAGGGUGCAAGCGUUAUCCGGAUUCACUGGGUUUAAAGGGUGUGUAGGCGGAUUUUUAAGUCAGUGGUGAAAUCUCCGGGCUCAACCCGGAAACUGCCAUUGAUACUAUUAGUCUUGAAUUCUGUUGAGGUGGGCGGAAUACAUCAUGUAGCGGUGAAAUGCGCAGAUAUCAGGAGGAACACCAAUGGCGAAGGCAGCUCGCUGGGACGUGACUGACGCUGAGACGCGAAAGCGUGGGGAGCAAACAGG
This 253-nucleotide ribosomal RNA is filed under the name uncultured bacterium. Its description in RNAcentral is "partial 16S ribosomal RNA". It matches the Rfam family "Bacterial small subunit ribosomal RNA", at positions 524 to 776 of the family's 1533-position model. The record is from RNAcentral.